Molecule: unclassified non-coding RNA, 380 nt
Filed under: soil metagenome
Description: partial contains 5.8S ribosomal RNA, internal transcribed spacer 2, and large subunit ribosomal RNA
Rfam family: 5.8S ribosomal RNA (bases 1-120)
Source: RNAcentral
GAUGAAGAACGUAGCGAAAUGCGAUAAGUAAUGUGAAUUGCAGAAUUCAGUGAAUCAUCGAAUCUUUGAACGCACCUUGCACCCUUUGGUAUUCCGAAGGGUAUGCUCGUUUGAGUGUCAUUGUACUCUCACACUUCCGAUCGUUUGGAUCGGGAGCGGUGGACUUGGGUGUUGCUGCUUUACUGUGGCUCACCUUAAAUGCAUUAGUGCACCUUUCGGUUGGACAUAGUACGGCGUGAUAAGUGUCUUCGCCGGCACCUCACAGAGGGUGGCUGAUCGGGAGCUCUGUGCUUCAAACCGUCCUCGGACAACGGCUGACAACUUGACCUCAAAUCGAGUAGGACUACCCGCUGAACUUAAGCAUAUCAAUAAGCGGAGGA